GCGGAUGGCCGGAUGGCCGCGGGCGGCAACGCUCGAGGAAAGUCCGGACUCCACAAGGCAACGGUGCCGGGUAACGCCCGGCCGGGGCAACCCGAGGGAAAGCGCCACAGAGAACAGACCGCUCCGCAUGCCGGAGCAAGGGUGAAACGGUGGGGCAAGGGCCCACCGCGGAGCUGGCAACAGUUCCGGCACGGCAAGCCCCACCGGGAGCAAUGCCAAAUAGGGACCUCACAUGGGCGGCCUUGGCCCGAGGUCCGGGUCGGCAGCACGAGCGCGCGGGCAACCGUGCGCCCAGAGGCAUGGCCAUCGAAGGGGGCGACCCCGGAACAGAAUCCGGCUUACAGGCCAUCCGCGCGC
RNAcentral lists this RNase P RNA (357 nucleotides) under Alphaproteobacteria bacterium. Its description in RNAcentral is "RNase P RNA component class A". It matches the Rfam family "Bacterial RNase P class A". From Rfam's summary of the family: Ribonuclease P (RNase P) is a ubiquitous endoribonuclease, found in archaea, bacteria and eukarya as well as chloroplasts and mitochondria. Its best characterised activity is the generation of mature 5'-ends of tRNAs by cleaving the 5'-leader elements of precursor-tRNAs. Lineage: Bacteria; Pseudomonadati; Pseudomonadota; Alphaproteobacteria. The record is from RNAcentral.